GGUCCAGCCUGCCCAGUGACAAGUUCAACGGCCGCGGUACCCUAACCGUGCAAAGGUAGCAUAAUCACCUGUUCUUUAAAUGAGGACUCGUAUCAACGGCACCACGAGGGUUGCACUGUCUCCCCCCUCUAAUCAGUGAAACUGAUCUCCCCGUGAAGAAGCGGGGGUACAACUAUAAGACGAGAAGACCCCAUGGAGCUUAAAACCCAACGGCAACUCAACCCCACACACUUCCCCGCACCAAAAGAGCAUGCCUAACGGUUUUAGGUUGGGGCGACCACGGAGUAAAAACCAACCUCCGUGACGAAAAGAACUAAAUCUUUAUCCCAGAGCCACCCCUCCAAGAAUUAGAACACUAACGGACAAUGACCCGACUAUCGACCAACGAACCAAGUUACCCUGGGGAUAACAGCGCAAUCUACUUCAAGAGCCCCUAUCGACAAGUAGGCUUACGACCUCGAUGUUGGAUCAGGGUACCCCAGAGG
This 485-nucleotide ribosomal RNA is filed under the name Theloderma corticale (Tonkin bug-eyed frog). RNAcentral describes it as "partial 16S ribosomal RNA". It matches the Rfam family "Bacterial large subunit ribosomal RNA", at positions 1851 to 2553 of the family's 2925-position model. The record is from RNAcentral. Lineage: Eukaryota; Metazoa; Chordata; Amphibia; Anura; Rhacophoridae.